UGGGGAAUAUUGCACAAUGGAGGGAACUCUGAUGCAGCGACGCCGCGUGAACGAAGAAGGCUUUCGAGUCGUAAAGUUCUUUCAUAUGGGAAGAUAAUGACGGUACCAUAAGAAAAAGCCCCGGCUAACUACGUGCCAGCAGCCGCGGUAAUACGUAGGGGGCUAGCGCUGUCCGGAAUCACUGGGCGUAAAGGUUUGGCAGUCGGAAAUGCAAGUCAGGUGUAAAAGGCAGUAGCUUAACUACUGUAAGCAUUUGAAACUGCAUAUCUUGAGAAGAGUAGAGGUAAGUGGAAUUUUUAGUGUAGCGGUGAAAUGCGUAGAUAUUAAAAAGAAUACCGGUGGCGAAGGCGGCUUACUGGGCUCAUUCUGACGCUGAGGAACGAAAGCGUGGGUAGCAAACAGG
Molecule: ribosomal RNA, 403 nt
Filed under: bacterium
Lineage: Bacteria
Description: partial 16S ribosomal RNA
Rfam family: Bacterial small subunit ribosomal RNA
Source: RNAcentral